AUUGAACGCUGGCGGAAUGCUUUACACAUGCAAGUCGAACGGCAGCACGGACUUCGGUCUGGUGGCGAGUGGCGAACGGGUGAGUAAUAUAUCGGCACGUGCCCCGUCGUGGGGGAUAACGUAGUGAAAAUUACGCUAAUACCGCAUACGAUCUAUGGAUGAAAGCGGGGGACCUUUGGGACUCGCGCGAUUGGAGCGGCCGAUAUCAGAUUAGGUAGUUGGUGGGGUAAAGGCUCACCAAGCCAACGAUCUGUAGCUGGUCUGAGAGGACGACCAGCCACACUGGGACUGAGACACGGCCCAGACUCCUACGGAAGGCAGCAGUGGGGAAUUUUGGACAAUGGACGCAAGUCUGAUCCAGCCAUUCCGCGUGCAGGACGAAGGCCUUCGGGUUGUAAACUGCUUUUGUACAGAACGAAAAGGUUUCUACUAAUACUAGGAGCUCAUGACGGUACUGUAAGAAUAAGCACCGGCUAACUACGUGCCAGCCGCCGCCGUAA
RNAcentral lists this ribosomal RNA (500 nucleotides) under uncultured bacterium. RNAcentral's name for it is "partial 16S ribosomal RNA". It matches the Rfam family "Bacterial small subunit ribosomal RNA", at positions 30 to 523 of the family's 1533-position model. The record is from RNAcentral.